CUAGCAUACACUACACAGCAGAUACCACCAUAGCCUUCUCAU
RNAcentral lists this transfer RNA (42 nucleotides) under Aspidoscelis gularis. RNAcentral's name for it is "partial tRNA-Ala". Lineage: Eukaryota; Metazoa; Chordata; Lepidosauria; Squamata; Teiidae. The record is from RNAcentral.